GGAGGCAUAGCUCAGCGGUAGAGCAUUCGACUGCAGAUCGAGAAGCCCCCGGUUCGAGCCCUGGGUUUUCU
Molecule: transfer RNA, 71 nt
Filed under: Echinostoma caproni
Lineage: Eukaryota; Metazoa; Platyhelminthes; Trematoda; Plagiorchiida; Echinostomatidae
Rfam family: tRNA
About the family: Transfer RNA (tRNA) molecules are approximately 80 nucleotides in length. Their secondary structure includes four short double-helical elements and three loops (D, anti-codon, and T loops).
Source: Rfam by way of RNAcentral